GUUUAAAAAAAAAAUAUUUUUUUGCUUUCGUGAUGUUUUUUGACGAUUUUUUUUUUUUUUUUUUUACAAAAUUUACAUAAAAUGACAAUUUGAAAAACAGAAGUUUCAACUAAUGAUGCCAACCUCUCAUUUAAAGGUAAAGACAAUGUUUGCCAUCAAUUUGUUUUUAAAAAUCAUACAGUUUCUUCGUUUAUUUGUUUACCAAAGUUCGGCCCCACGAGAAAUCGUUAAAAUGUAUACAUUAUCAACUGAUUCACCAUAGACAGUAUGUGUAAAGUGAUAUUCAAAAAGCGGUCACAAUCUUAAAACUAAUCCGAAAUGUUCCAAAUUUACUGUGUGUUGUUUU
RNAcentral lists this long non-coding RNA (346 nucleotides) under Mytilus galloprovincialis (Mediterranean mussel). The record is from RNAcentral. Lineage: Eukaryota; Metazoa; Mollusca; Bivalvia; Mytilida; Mytilidae.